Molecule: ribosomal RNA, 500 nt
Filed under: uncultured bacterium
Lineage: Bacteria
Description: partial 16S ribosomal RNA
Rfam family: Bacterial small subunit ribosomal RNA
Source: RNAcentral
AUUGAAGGCUGGCGGCAUGCUUUACACAUGCAAGUCGAACGGUAACAGGGUGCUUGCACCGCUGACGAGUGGCGAACGGGUGAGUAAUGCGUCGGAACGUGCCGAGUAGUGGGGGAUAACGCAGCGAAAGUUGUGCUAAUACCGCAUACGUACUGAGGUAGAAAGUGGGGGACCUUCGGGCCUCACGCUAUUCGAGCGGCCGACGUCGGAUUAGCUAGUAGGGGAGGUAAAGGCUCACCUAGGCGACGAUCAGUAGCGGGUCUGAGGGGAUGAUCAGCCACACUGGGACUGAGACACGGCCCAGACUCCUACGGGAGGCAGCAGUGGGGAAUUUUGGACAAUGGGCGAAAGCCUGAUCCAGCCAUGCCGCGUGUCUGAAGAAGGCCUUCGGGUUGUAAAGGACUUUUGUCAGGGAAGAAAUCCCUAGUGCUAAUAACACUGGGGGAUGACAGUACCUGAAGAAUAAGCACCGGCUAACUACGUGCCAGCCGCCGCAGUAA